This 554-nucleotide ribosomal RNA is filed under the name Fusarium verticillioides. Its description in RNAcentral is "eukaryotic LSU rRNA". The stretch from base 195 to 348 matches the Rfam family "5.8S ribosomal RNA". The record is from RNAcentral. Lineage: Eukaryota; Fungi; Ascomycota; Sordariomycetes; Hypocreales; Nectriaceae.
AAGUCGUAACAAGGUCUCCGUUGGUGAACCAGCGGAGGGAUCAUUACCGAGUUUACAACUCCCAAACCCCUGUGAACAUACCAAUUGUUGCCUCGGCGGAUCAGCCCGCUCCCGGUAAAACGGGACGGCCCGCCAGAGGACCCCUAAACUCUGUUUCUAUAUGUAACUUCUGAGUAAAACCAUAAAUAAAUCAAAACUUUCAACAACGGAUCUCUUGGUUCUGGCAUCGAUGAAGAACGCAGCAAAAUGCGAUAAGUAAUGUGAAUUGCAGAAUUCAGUGAAUCAUCGAAUCUUUGAACGCACAUUGCGCCCGCCAGUAUUCUGGCGGGCAUGCCUGUUCGAGCGUCAUUUCAACCCUCAAGCCCUCGGGUUUGGUGUUGGGGAUCGGCGAGCCCUUGCGGCAAGCCGGCCCCGAAAUCUAGUGGCGGUCUCGCUGCAGCUUCCAUUGCGUAGUAGUAAAACCCUCGCAACUGGUACGCGGCGCGGCCAAGCCGUUAAACCCCCAACUUCUGAAUGUUGACCUCGGAUCAGGUAGGAAUACCCGCUGAACUUAA